GAUGAACGCUGGCGGCGUGCCUAAUACAUGCAAGUCGAGCGAACAGACGAGGAGCUUGCUCCUCUGACGUUAGCGGCGGACGGGUGAGUAACACGUGGAUAACCUACCUCUAAUACUGGGAUAACUUCGGGAAACCGGAGCUAAUACCGGAUAAUAUAUUGAACCGCAUGGUUCAAUAGUGAAAGACGGUUUUGCUGUCACUUAUAGAUGGAUCCGCGCCGCAUUAGCUAGUUGGUAAGGUAACGGCUUACCAAGGCAACGAUGCGUAGCCGACCUGAGAGGGUGAUCGGCCACACUGGAACUGAGACACGGUCCAGACUCCUACGGGAGGCAGCAGUAGGGAAUCUUCCGCAAGGGGCGAAAGCUUGACGGAGCAACGCCGCGUGAGUGAUGAAGGUCUUCGGAUCGUAAAACUCUGUUAUUAGGGAAGAACAAAUGUGUAAGUAACUAUGCACGUCUUGACGGUACCUAAUCAGAAAGCCACGGCUAACUACGUG
Molecule: ribosomal RNA, 497 nt
Filed under: uncultured bacterium
Lineage: Bacteria
Description: partial 16S ribosomal RNA
Rfam family: Bacterial small subunit ribosomal RNA
Source: RNAcentral